GAUGGACUGAUAUAUGAUCCUCCAAAAAAUUGCAUACUUUAAUCUCCCCAGAUGAAAUAGACUUCAAAAAAUGUAUAGCCCAAUCCCUGUGCGCCGGGGUAGCCACUAGCCAGGCGAGUGAGUAAGAGAGCACAAGCAUAGAAGACGAAAGGAAAGGGAACGGAGCUGGCCCAAGUUCCUGUGCGUAAGUAAGCUUUAGCCAUCGAAGGAUCCCACUCAAUUGCUCUGUUUGCAUCAGCAACGGCCUCGGUUAGAUUGUUCAGUUUGAUAUGGGCCUGAGCACGAUCAGCGUAGAGCUGGCGUUGCUGGGGUUAAGGGCCAUGGCCUGCGUUAAGAUGUUGGCCGCCAGCUCGAAGUGAUCGUCGACGAAAGCCUCCUUGGCCUUCGUUCCGAGAUCGGACGCCAUUGGAGAUACAGAGAAGCUGUCGAUAGUAUAAUCUGCGAGACAACGGGUAGUCUAUGC
This 463-nucleotide unclassified non-coding RNA is filed under the name Hevea brasiliensis (rubber tree). Lineage: Eukaryota; Viridiplantae; Streptophyta; Magnoliopsida; Malpighiales; Euphorbiaceae. The record is from RNAcentral.